Long non-coding RNA from Cervus elaphus (red deer), 843 nucleotides. RefSeq lists it as uncharacterized. The transcript is spliced from 4 exons. The record is from RefSeq and is a predicted model, not a curated record. Lineage: Eukaryota; Metazoa; Chordata; Mammalia; Artiodactyla; Cervidae.
GACUGCAGCCUAUUAGGCUCCUCCGUCCAUGGGAUUUUCCAGGCAAGAGUACUGGAGUGGGGUGCCAUUGCCUUCUCCGAGGGUUCAAGCUAACUGAUGUUAAUUUAACAUAGUCACAACCUUCCACAAUGCAACGCAGAACAGCCCCCCAGGAUAUGCUGAACUGAAUUAAAAUGGAGAGGUUACGCCCUUGGUGGAAGAUUCACCUGGGAAGACUCGAUUCUGAGAUGCAUGUCCUGAGAGCACCAGGUGAAGGAGCCUGAGCUAAUUUGCCGGAGGGUGAACCCAGGAUCCAGCCCACAGCCAACUGCCAGACCUGACUCCUUUGAUUUGGGCCAAGUCCUUUCCAACAUACUGAGUGAGCCCUUUUAUCUAACUGGAUCUCAAAUCUCUACCUGAUUAUUACACUCCCACCAAGGGUCAUCAUUUAGGCUGUUGCCGGACAUUUACAUCCUUUUGUGAAUGAAGAUCAAGUCCUACUCAGGAGAAAGCAGAGGGCCAGGGUUUCUCCAGGAGUGCUUCCAUUUCAGGGACCCAGUCUCCGCUUCUCCUGCUGGUCCAUUAUCCACAACACCGAGAGAAGAAUUCGCGUUUUCUCUUUAUCCCUCCAGAGAUCAAGCCAGGAGUUCGGAGGGGCUGGAGGGCAGUGUUCUGUACAGCUUUCUUCCAACCGGAACAGAGAGGGGCUCACAUAUUUCCAGAGGAUCAAGAUGGGCUAGUCAUGUAACCACAGAGUUCUAAUGUGCCCACCCUGGCACCACUGCCAAGAACUUAUGAAAUUAACCCAGGGUCCGGCUCAUGAUGUGUCUAUGGUCAUCACAGGGCUAACCUGGCCUCUUGCCU